Molecule: ribosomal RNA, 220 nt
Filed under: uncultured fungus
Lineage: Eukaryota; Fungi
Description: partial 18S ribosomal RNA
Rfam family: Eukaryotic small subunit ribosomal RNA (bases 48-220)
Source: RNAcentral
GAAUCUGUCUAUCGGUCGGGUUUCACUGUCCGUACUGGUGUGGUGGGUUCUUACCUUCUGAAUAACCAGCAUGCCAUUCACUUGGUGCGUUGGGGAAGCAGGACUAUUACCUUGAAAAAAUUAGAGUGCUUGAAGCAGGCCAGUGCCUGAAUACAUUAGCAUGGAAUAAUAAAAUAGGACGGCAUGGUUCUAUUUGUUGGUUUCUAGGAUCACCGUAAUG